RNAcentral lists this unclassified non-coding RNA (370 nucleotides) under Hevea brasiliensis (rubber tree). The record is from RNAcentral. Lineage: Eukaryota; Viridiplantae; Streptophyta; Magnoliopsida; Malpighiales; Euphorbiaceae.
CGGGUAGCAAAUUUGGAUUUCUCCCAUACAUUUUUUUCCUCAAGAGGGCAUGGAGGUUUCCACGAAACAGGUGGUACUAUGCGACAAAUUCCAUAUGUCUCUGCUUUGGAGCGUAUGCUAGCCAUAUACGUCAGGGUAUCUUCAAAUUCCUUUUCAGUUGGAUAGAACACUGGAGCGUCUCCAAGAUCGGGCCUAGAAGCUUCCUCUGGCCGCCAUCUCGCAGUUACCCUUUGGCAGUUGAGACACCCUUCACAUCCUCUGAUGACCCCUUUCGGAAGUGAAGACCUUACAGAGGGAUUCUGAUCGGAACCAGAUUCAUCUUCUGAGCUUUUCUCAUAUUUCCCAUAGUUUACCCCAGGUUUACGGGCGG